CGGAAAUUAGGCUAUUGAUCUUUCAUCGAUAACUCACCGAUGAGCAAUUGUCGGUAGGUAUUUAAGCUCUCAGUUAGUUUAAAAGUAUGUAAAGUAGUAAAUUUUGAACAUUACAGAGCAAGCAUGAUGAAGACUGUGAUCAUCCUUUUGGCAUUGGUGACCAAGGUCUAUUGCUCCUACUACGACGUCAUUUAUCAUAAAACACACUAUGGUCAUGGAGAUGGAAUCAGUUACAGAUUCUUCAAAAAAUACCAAGGACACAAUAAUGACUAUGGAUACGGUUCAUCAUACGGCGGUGUGGAUGACACUAGUUAUGACUAUGAUGGGAAUGGAUAUGGUUAUUAAACAUGCCAAAUUCUUAGAAUAUCACAAUUUUGAUAACAAAAUUUUUACCUGAUGUGUGAAACUGGGGAAUGGAAGAUGCUGCAUUCAAGAUAAAAUCAUGUCUUGAAUUGUGAAUAAAAUUAUUAUUAUUAUUAUUAUUAUUA
This is a long non-coding RNA of Stegodyphus dumicola, 488 nucleotides long. RefSeq lists it as uncharacterized. Lineage: Eukaryota; Metazoa; Arthropoda; Arachnida; Araneae; Eresidae. The record is from RefSeq and is a predicted model, not a curated record.